Octodon degus (degu) is the source of this 2207-nucleotide RNA transcript. It is a transcript of the gene named serine/threonine-protein kinase PLK4-like, with no coding region annotated. The record is from RefSeq and is a predicted model, not a curated record. The transcript has 7 exons. Lineage: Eukaryota; Metazoa; Chordata; Mammalia; Rodentia; Octodontidae.
AUGACGAAGGGAACGUCAUUCUUUGGAAAGCGAAAUAAGACAUACACGUUGUGCUGCCACUAUGGCUCUAAGGCCUUCCACCUUCAAAAGUCGACUUGUAGCAAAUGUGGCUACCCCACCAAGCAUAAGAAAAAGUAUAACUGGAGUGCAAAGGCUAAAAUGCAAAAUACCACCGGAAGUGGAGCACCUGCUGUGCCUGGAAACACAGAAACCUGCAUUGGUAAGAAGACUGAAGAUUUUAAAGUUGGAAAUCUGCUUGGUUCUCUAAGAAUCACUUGCUGAUGGCUACAGAGCUGAGUCCAUUCAUAUUGGCUUGGAAGUUGCAAUAAAAAUGCUUUAAAACUAUUUUGAAGAUAACAAUUGUCUACCUGGUGUUAAAAAUGCAUCAUAAUGGAUAAAUGAACAAGUAUCUAAAGAACAGAAUGAAGCCUUUCUCUGAAAAUGAAGCUCGACAUUUCAUGCACCAGAUCAUCACAGGAUUAUUGUAUCUUCAUUCCCAUGGUAUACUACACCAGGACCUCACACUUUCUAAUCUUUUAUUUAAUCAUAAUAUGAAUAUCAAGAUUGCUAAUUCUGGGCUGGCAACUCAGUUGCAAAUGCCACAUGAAAAGCACUAUACAUUAUGUGGUACUCCUAAUUACAUUUCACCAGAAAUUGCAACUCGAAGUGCACAUGGACUUGAAUCAGAUAUUUGGUCCUUGGGCUGUCUGUAUUAUUCAUUACUCAUUGAAAGACCACCUUUCCUUUUUUACCGCUACAGUCACCUACAUGAGUACACUCACAACAGUGUAACCCCAAAUGGAGAUUUCCAGGACCAUCUAGAUUUCCAAGGUGCAUCAAGAAACACCUGGGCAGAUACAAGAGCAAGAAAAGGCUCUAAUGCUUCUGAUAAGGCACAUUUUUGAAAAACAGCUGAAUACCAUAAAAUAUGUGACUGGACCUCACGGUAAACCUGAGAUAAUUCAUUAAGAACCUACUUUUGGAUCAGAUCUUCUUUAGGAACAAAGCAAGACUAGGGGUAUGGAGUCAACAUUUAGGCAUCAGAAACAUUUGUUACACAGCAUUAUACCUCCUUUGGUUGCUCACAGGUUAAAACCAAUCAGACAGAAAGCCAAAAAGACAGUGGUGAGCAUACUCAAUACGGAGCAAGUAUAUGUGGAGCUUCUAAUGAAGCACACAUCUUAAGAAUAUGCAAAACAAGUUCUUCGACUAUCUAGUGAUGGGAAUGUGAUCACUGUUUAUUAUCCAAAUGAUGGAAAAGCCUUUCCUCUUACUGAUCGACCACCCUCAACUAAUAACAAUAUCACUAGGUAUAAGUUUGACUAUUUACCAGAAAAAUACUGGAAAAAAAUACCAGUAUGCUUCGAGAUUUAUACAUCUCAUAAGAUCUACAUCUCCAAAAAUGACCUAUUUGACAAGAUAUACUAAGUGUAUUUUGAUGGAGAAUUCUCCUAAUGCUGAUUUUGAAGUUUGGUUUUAGGAUGUAGCAGAAAAGACACAAAACAGAAAAUUCUAUUCAAGUGAUUGAAAAGACCAGAAAAAUCUAUAAAAUAAAAUAUGAAAGUGAAGUCAAUAGCCUGAAAGAGAAAACAAAAAUGUACAUGGACCAUGCUUAUGAUGGUCAUUGUAUUUGUUUAGCACUGGAAUUUAUAAUUUCAGAAGAGGAAAAGAAAAGUAGAAGUGCGCCCUUUUUUCCCAUAAUUGUAGGAAGAAAACCUGGCUGUACUCACUCACUUAAGGCUUUACCAGCUUUUCCUGUGGAUCUAAAUGGCUCUAUGAGAGAUGGACCACCAUUGAAUAAAUUGGUCUUCAGUAGUGCUGUCUCUCGCACACAGGCACCAGUCCUUAUCUUUCUGUAGUUACAUCAGAAAGACUUGGUUAUAUCACUACACCCACAGAAACAAACAUCCCUUCUAACAUUCCAAAAGUCUGUUUACCUAAAUAGGCACAACUUUUGAAAUCUCUUUUUGUGAAAAAUGUUGGUUGGGCUACACAGUUAACUAGUGGAGCUGUGUGGGCUCAGUUUAAUGAUGGGUCACAGCUGGUAGUCCAGGCAGGAGUGUCUUCUAUCAGUGACACAUCACCAAAUGGUCAACAUAACCAAGUGUGGAGAACAGGAAAAGUUAUAAGUAUACAUCAAAAAGAAAUUACAGUGUGUUUGUUGUAUCCUUUCAAUGUUUUAUAAUCCAACUCCUACUUUUCAUUGA